GGUCAAGCUACUAAGGGCAAACGGUGGAUGCCUUGGGACUUCGAGGCGAUGAAGGACGUGGAAAGCUGCGAUAAGCGACGGUGAGAAGCACUCAUUCGAUGAACCGUCGAUUUCCGAAUGGGGGAACCCAAUAACUGCUGCCUGAAUACAUAGGGCAGUUAGAGCAAACUCAGGGAAGUGAACCAUCUCAGUACCUGAAGGAAAAGAAAACAAUAGUGAUUCUGCUAGUAGCGGCGAGCGAACGCGGAAAAGCCUAAACCGAUAGGACUUGUCCUGUCGGGGUCGUGGGAUCAGACAUAACGGGAGAAGAAGAUUAACAAAAGUGUAUGGAAAAGCACACCAUAGAGCGUGAUAGUCGCGUAUGUGAAAAUUUUCGACUUCCAGUUUGACACCCGAGUAAUGCGGAACACGAGGAAUUCUGCAUGAAUUUGCCGGGACCAUCCGGUAAGGCUAAAUACUCCGAAGUCACCGAUAGUGAACCAGUACCGUGAGGGAAAGGUGAAAAGAACCCCAGUGAGGGGAGUGAAAUAGUACCUGAAACCGUUUGCUUACAAGCAGUAGGAGGAGCGCAAGUUCUGACUAUGUGCCUUUUGCAUAAUGAGCCGGCUAGUAAAUGUCACAGGCAAGGUUAAACGAUAAGUAAGCCGAAGCGAAAGCGAGUCUUAAUAGGGCGCUUAGUCUGUGGUAUUUGGACGUGAAACGGGAUGAUCUAGGCAUGGGCAGGUUGAAGCGUGGGUAACACCACGUGGAGGACCGAACCAGUAUAGGUUGAAAACUGUUUGGAUGACCUGUGCCUAGGGGUGAAAGGCUAAUCAAAUUCCGUGAUAGCUCGUUCUCGCCGAAAUAGCUUUAGGGCUAGCCUCGGAUUUAUCUUUGCGGUGGUAAAGCACUGAAUGGACUAGGGGCCUCACAAGGUUACCGAAUUCAAUCAAACUCUGAAUGCCGUAAAUGAAUGUCCGGGAGUCAGACUACGGGUGCUAAGAUUCGUGGUCGAGAGGGAAAGAGCCCAGACCAACAGCUAAGGUCCCAAAAUUAUAGUUAAGUGGAAAAGGACGUGGGGAAGCACUGACAGCCAGGAGGUUUGCUUAGAAGCAGCAAUCCUUUAAAGAAAGCGUAAUAGCUCACUGGUCAAGUAGCCCUGCACCGACAAUUUAACGGGGCUCAAACUAUAUACCGAAGCUUUGGAUAUUUUUAAUAUGGUAGGCGAGCAUUCUGUAGCUGUGAAGCGGUUCCGUAAGGUCCGUUGGAGCAAUCAGAAAAGACUUUGUCGGCAUUAGUAGCGAUAACGUAUGUGAGAACCAUACGCACCGAAAACCUAAGGUUUCCUGCGUCAAGUUAAUCUGCGCAGGGUUAGUCUGUACCUAAGGCGAGGGCGAGAGCCGUAGUCGAUGGAAAUCCGGUUAAUAUUCCGGAACUGAGUAACAGUGCUGUGGGGUGACGCAAUAGGGUAAGCAAGACGGCUGAUGGAUGCCGUUGAAUUAAACAGCCCGUCGCUUUGGUAAAUCCGGGCGACACAAGGGUAAAUAAGAGGACGAAAGUACAGAACUUCGGUUCUGGAACAAGUUGCUGACCCCAAUUGCCAAGAAAAGCCUCGUUCAGCUCAACUGUUAAUUAGCAGUACCGCAAACCGACACAGGUAGGUGGGAUGAGAAUUCUAAGGUGCUUGUGAGAACCCUCGUUCAGGAACUCGGCAAAUUAUAUCCGUAACUUCGGGAGAAGGAUAGCCGUGUUCACUAAGAACAUGGUCGCAGAGAAAUGUUCCAGGCGACUGUUUAACAAAAACACAGGUCUCCGC
RNAcentral lists this ribosomal RNA (1795 nucleotides) under Pyrinomonadaceae bacterium. Its description in RNAcentral is "partial 23S ribosomal RNA". It matches the Rfam family "Bacterial large subunit ribosomal RNA", at positions 1 to 1826 of the family's 2925-position model. Lineage: Bacteria; Pseudomonadati; Acidobacteriota; Blastocatellia; Blastocatellales; Pyrinomonadaceae. The record is from RNAcentral.